GAGUUUAAGCAUAUCAAUAAGCGGAGGAGAAGAAACUUACGAGGAUUCCCUUAGUAACGGCGAGCGAACCGGGAUCGGCCCAGCUUGAGAAUCGGACGGCCGCGCCGUUCGAAUUGUAGUCUGUAGAAGCGUCCUCAGCGACGGACCGGGCCCAAGUCCACUGGAAGGUGGCGCCGGAGAGGGUGAGAGCCCCGUCGUGCCCGGACCCUGCCGCAUCACGAGGCGCUGUCGGCGAGUCGGGUUGUUUGGGAAUGCAGCCCCAAUUGGGCGGUAAAUUCCGUCCAAGGCUAAAUACUGGCGAGAGACCGAUAGCGAACAAGUACCGCGAGGGAAAGGUGAAAAGGACUUUGAAAAGAGAGUCAAAGAGUGCUUGAAAUUGU
RNAcentral lists this ribosomal RNA (380 nucleotides) under Xanthomonas oryzae pv. oryzae. Its description in RNAcentral is "eukaryotic LSU rRNA". It matches the Rfam family "Eukaryotic large subunit ribosomal RNA", at positions 30 to 408 of the family's 3401-position model. The record is from RNAcentral. Lineage: Bacteria; Pseudomonadati; Pseudomonadota; Gammaproteobacteria; Lysobacterales; Lysobacteraceae.